AACGUAGGAGGCUAGCGUUAUCCGGAUUUAUUGGGCGUAAAGCGCGUGCAGGCGGUCUAUCAAGUUGGAUGUGAAAGCUCCUGGCUUAACUGGGAGAGGUCGUUCAAAACUGAUAGACUAGAGAAUGGUAGAGGGAGGUGGAAUUCCGGGUGUAGUGGUGAAAUGCGUAGAUAUCCGGAGGAACACCAGUGGCGAAAGCGGCCUCCUGGGCCAUUUCUGACGCUAAGACGCGAAAGCUAGGGUAGCAAACGGGAUUAGAGACCCCGGUAGUCCUAGCCGUAAACGAUGUGGACUUGGCGUUGGCGGAGUUAAAUCUGCCAGUGCCGUAGCUAACGCGAUAAGUCCACCGCCUGGGGACUACGACCGCAAGGUUAAA
RNAcentral lists this ribosomal RNA (376 nucleotides) under uncultured bacterium. RNAcentral describes it as "bacterial SSU rRNA". It matches the Rfam family "Bacterial small subunit ribosomal RNA", at positions 524 to 898 of the family's 1533-position model. The record is from RNAcentral.